CCCUUAGACGUUCUGGGCCGCACGCGCGCUACACUGGCCGGUGCAACAAGCAUCGGUCCUUGGCCGACAGGCCCGGGCAAUCUUUGAACGCCGGUCGUGAUGGGGAUAGACUUUUGCAAUUUUUGGUCUUCAACGAGGAAUUCCUAGUAAACGCAAGUCAUCAACUUGCAUUGAUUACGUCCCUGCCCUUUGUACACACCGCCCGUCGCACCUACCGAUUGAAUGGUCCGGUGAAGCCUCCGGAUUGGCGCGCACCUCGGUGCCGCCGAGAAGUUGGCUAAACCUUACCAUUUAGAGGAAGGUGAAGUCGUAACA
This 315-nucleotide ribosomal RNA is filed under the name uncultured eukaryote. Its description in RNAcentral is "partial 18S ribosomal RNA". It matches the Rfam family "Eukaryotic small subunit ribosomal RNA", at positions 1470 to 1796 of the family's 1831-position model. The record is from RNAcentral.